CAGCAGCCACGGGAAUACGUAGGUGGCAAGCGUUGUCCGGAAUUAUUGGGCGUAAAGGGCUCGCAGGCGGUUUCUUAAGUCUGAUGUGAAAGCCCCCGGCUCAACCGGGGAGGGUCAUUGGAAACUGGGAAACUUGAGUGCAGAAGAGGAGAGUGGAAUUCCACGUGUAGCGGUGAAAUGCGUAGAGAUGUGGAGGAACACCAGUGGCGAAGGCGACUCUCUGGUCUGUAACUGACGCUGAGGAGCGAAAGCGUGGGGAGCGAGCAGGAUUAGAUACCCCAGUAGUCCCUGUCUCUUAUAC
RNAcentral lists this ribosomal RNA (301 nucleotides) under uncultured bacterium. Its description in RNAcentral is "partial 16S ribosomal RNA". It matches the Rfam family "Bacterial small subunit ribosomal RNA", at positions 509 to 807 of the family's 1533-position model. The record is from RNAcentral.